RNAcentral lists this transfer RNA (64 nucleotides) under Monodelphis domestica (gray short-tailed opossum). It matches the Rfam family "tRNA", at positions 5 to 66 of the family's 71-position model. Rfam says of the family: Transfer RNA (tRNA) molecules are approximately 80 nucleotides in length. Lineage: Eukaryota; Metazoa; Chordata; Mammalia; Didelphimorphia; Didelphidae. The record is from Rfam by way of RNAcentral.
CUUUAGUGCAAUAGGCAGUAUUUCAGUCUUGAAAGCUGAAGGUCCUGAGUUCAAAUCUCAGAAG